Molecule: ribosomal RNA, 244 nt
Filed under: uncultured bacterium
Lineage: Bacteria
Description: partial 16S ribosomal RNA
Rfam family: Bacterial small subunit ribosomal RNA
Source: RNAcentral
UGGCAAGCGUUAUCCGGAUUUAUUGGGCGUAAAGGGAACGCAGGCGGUCUUUUAAGUCUGAUGUGAAAGCCUUCGGCUUAACCGGAGUAGCGCAUCAGAAACUGUUGAACUUGAGUGCAGAAGAGGAGAGUGGAACUCCAUGUGUAGCGGUGGAAUGCGUAGAUAUAUGGAAGAACACCAGUGGCGAAAGCGGCUCUCUGGUCUGUAACUGACGCUGAGGUUCGAAAGCGUGGGUAGCAAACAG